UUUAGGCUCGGAGUCCAUGUUUCUAUCCUCAUCACUGUGUUCAAUCGUUCAAUUAAGAGGUUUCUUUUGGACACCAUUGUUGUUAGGAUUCAUUGGCUCUUAUUUUUCUCUUUUUUUUUUCAUGCGCUCUUUUGAGCAUGCAUUUUGCCAACCUCAAUAUUUCUAGAUAAGUGCUUUGUUUUACUUCUCAUAUUUUUUUUCAUUUCUUU
This 209-nucleotide long non-coding RNA is filed under the name Lathyrus oleraceus (garden pea). RNAcentral describes it as "Pisum sativum (pea) long non-coding RNA (PSAT_LNC032065)". Lineage: Eukaryota; Viridiplantae; Streptophyta; Magnoliopsida; Fabales; Fabaceae. The record is from RNAcentral.